AGUUGCUGCACUCUCCUCUGAGCCUCUGAAGCUCCCUUUUUGUCCCAGCUGACCUCCCAGCAGGGGAAGGGUGUUCCCAGGGUGAGGGAAUGUUGCCACUUUCACAGCUCCCUCCCAGGGGUGCAGGUCUCCUUCUGGUUCCUUUUUUUUUUCUUUUGCUCUACCUGGUUAUGUGGUGAUCCUUCUUGCAGCUUUGGUUGUAUGAGUUCUGCCAGCAUCCAGUAUUCUGCAAGAAUUGUUCCACGUGUAGAUAUAUUUUUGAUGCAUUUAUGGAAGGAGCUCGUGGGAUCUUAGUCACCCCGACCUGGUAUUGAACGUCAGUGAAAGCGCAGAGUCCUAACCACUGGAUCUCCAGGUGCUGGAAUUAUAGUGCAUUGCUGGACCCACAGUCAUCUGGAGCAGGGGGUCGGAGCAGCCACAGAGAACAAGUUUUGUGCUUUGUCUUUUUAUUAUUCUUUAUUUACUGGUCCUACCAACGUGACCCUUUACCCAGGCCCACUGUUCCUAUGUGCACUGGCUUUACAGACAUUUGCACCAUAUGUCUGUGUCCCAAGUUGUGACUGAUUUCUCCUUCCUAUUCCUUUUCCAUGCAGUGCCUCAUUUUCUCAGAAUCUGAAGGCAUUUUUGUUUGUUUGGGUCUGUGUAAAGGUUCCUUGGCAGGAGAACAUGCAUAUGAUCUUAAAAUAAAGACAUUCUGACACUAAGGUAAUGCACAGAAAAAAUACAGUACACAGACAUCAUUGCAAAUAAAUACCCCGUACAGAUGAAGUUUUUGUAAAUGUAACAUUAUUUCUUAUGAAUCAACACUGUAAGAGAAGGUAAAAAUAGGGGUCCCUACAACUAGGAAUAAAAAUGCUUAUUCCAGGAAACAGAAUUCUUCUAUUCUUGCUACUUAUAUUAUUAUAAUUUGUCCUGUAUUUUGGAGGAGAGAGGACACUUUUUCUUCCUCCUCCUUGAGUACCAAUUUGACCACUUGCACAACCUCACUCAGCAAAUCAGAACAGGACACAGAUCUGGUUUGCUAAGGAGCUUUAGUGACUUCUGUUUCCUGAAAUUAACAGUGAUUAGUUACACCAAGCAAGAGAAUAUAUAAUGUCUCUCUCUCACAUUUGCAAAGAAUACUAUGGCUAGCCCUCACCCCAAUGCACGAGGCCGACGGUGCCGGCUCCCCUGCCACCCGCCCCACUCUUCACAAACGUGGCGUGUUGUUCACAUAGCUUGCUUAGCUUGUCCCAUAAAGUCCAUUUGGUUCCCAAAGCACACUCAAGGUUUGUGUUCACUUUCGUUUUCUCAGCCCCUGAAUUUGCAAGGAUCUG
Long non-coding RNA from Orcinus orca (killer whale), 1316 nucleotides. RefSeq lists it as uncharacterized. The transcript has 3 exons. Lineage: Eukaryota; Metazoa; Chordata; Mammalia; Artiodactyla; Delphinidae. The record is from RefSeq and is a predicted model, not a curated record.